GUUUCCAUUCCUUUUUCCUUGAUUACUAGAUAACCUCAUUUUGCAGCUGCUUUGCUUUUUACCAGCUUUUGCGGACGGCUGUUAUUAUUAUUUGCGACUUCCUUCUGUACGUAAUUGCCUGUCAAAUCUGUUACUCUUAUUUCAUGUUUUCUAAGCGCAAUAACCAAAUGAUGAUUACAAGCGCUUAUAAAUCCAGUGGUAGCGAGAAACCUGUACGUUACUGAUAGCUCAUCGAGAAAAACUGCAGAUUGCCUAGUUGUCUUGUGCAUUGACUCGUUCUGAUGAUUGCUAUGCCAUGUCAUUGUUUGUGUAGUUUAACG
This 320-nucleotide small RNA is filed under the name Cryptococcus neoformans H99. RNAcentral describes it as "Cryptococcus neoformans var. grubii H99 hypothetical RNA". Lineage: Eukaryota; Fungi; Basidiomycota; Tremellomycetes; Tremellales; Cryptococcaceae. The record is from RNAcentral.